UACAGAGGUCUCAAGCGUUGUUCGGAUUCAUUGGGCGUAAAGGGUGCGUAGGCGGCGUGGUAAGUCGGGUGUGAAAUCUCGGAGCUUAACUCCGAAACUGCAUUCGAUACUGCCGUGCUUGAGGACUGGAGAGGAGACUGGAAUUCAUGGUGUAGCAGUGAAAUGCGUAGAUAUCUGGAGGAACACCGGUGGCGAAGGCGGCAUCCUGGACCAACACUGACACUGAGGAGCGAAAGCCAGGGGAGCAAACGGG
RNAcentral lists this ribosomal RNA (253 nucleotides) under uncultured bacterium. RNAcentral describes it as "partial 16S ribosomal RNA". It matches the Rfam family "Bacterial small subunit ribosomal RNA", at positions 524 to 776 of the family's 1533-position model. The record is from RNAcentral.